GUAAUGGUGUAAGGUGUAUGGUGCAAUGGUGUAAGGUGUAUGGUGUAAGGGGAAUGGUGUAAUGGUGUAUGAGGAAUGGUGUGAUUGUGUAACGUGUGAUCGGGAAUGGUGUGAAUGAUGGUGUACGACAUUUCAUUAGUUGAAAAUAAUGUUCUUUUUAUUUAUUUAUUUUUUUCAAAUUGUAAACAUAAACAAUAAUAAUAAUCUUAAUAUUUGAAAUUUAAUUGCAUUAUGGGUAAUUUCGGAUCGUGUAGAUAGAAUGGGUAAUGG
RNAcentral lists this long non-coding RNA (270 nucleotides) under Mytilus galloprovincialis (Mediterranean mussel). The record is from RNAcentral. Lineage: Eukaryota; Metazoa; Mollusca; Bivalvia; Mytilida; Mytilidae.